RNAcentral lists this long non-coding RNA (1406 nucleotides) under Pan troglodytes (chimpanzee). RNAcentral describes it as "long non-coding RNA NONPTRT011672". Lineage: Eukaryota; Metazoa; Chordata; Mammalia; Primates; Hominidae. The record is from RNAcentral.
UCAAGGCCACAACUCCAUAUUUGAAGUAAAGUGCUCAUAAAAUUAAUUGCAAGAUAUGGUAGAAAGAAGAGAGAAUGAAAAAUAAUGUUAACAAUCUAGGUGAGGAAUUGCUGAGGAGACAAAUUAAGUAAAUCCUGUGGAAGGAAAGAAGAAAGGAGGAAAGAGGAUUGGAUGGAAGAAUCUCCACUUCUCAGGAUACAAUGAAGAUAAGCACAAAACAAUAAGGGAGCAAUGUGGUCUAAUUACCUUGAAGGACCAAAAGGACUGAGUGAGUAGGUGUAGUCCUUCCUUAGCCUGCUUUUUAAUGACUGCUGCUAAAGCCCUUAGCCUGCCUGUUUACCCUUGGAGUGGAGCAAUGAACUGAAGAUAUUUGAGUGAGUUCAAGAGAGACUCAGAAGAGAAGAAUUGGAGGCAGCAAACAUAGACAGCACUUUUAAUGCUUUUCUCAUAUGCUGUAAGACAUGAAAGCAAUCUAUUGGGAUGAAAGCUGAAAGGAGAAGCGGGACAAGAGAAGUGAAUCCGUGGAAGACCCCCAAAAGAGGCUGCAGAUUCUUGGUGGACAGCUCUCAUAUCCCCUCCAGGGAAAAUGAUGAAAAAUGUCUUCAGAAAAAUAGCUUUAUGAAGGCAAGAGGACUUUUUGCACCUGCAAGACAUGUCUGAAAGCUUCCAUCAGAUUCUUGUAAGUACCUCACUUGGCACAAGAUAGAACAACAUGGCGUUCAAGAAAGUCAACUGCGUUGCCCAAGAGUAAGAGAAGGACCCUCUGAAGAAGAGCAACUUUUCAGACAGGUAGAGUGUGCCUUGCUCCCAAGGAAAAGAGUUCUUGAAAAAAACAAAUGGGAAACAUGGCUACAAGAAAACUGGGAAGACUGCAAGAAUUUGAACAUUUCAUUUCAGGAUUUGGGGGAUCCUUACCAGGUUGAAAAUUUUAACAGAAUUCUUAGAAGACUAAUUCGAGUUGAAACCCCCUGGUUAGUGGAUAAUUCACUGGUGGACUUAAGUGCCAUAAGAUUGCCAAGGUCUCAGAUUGGAGAACAAGAAAAGUAAAAAGGGGUAAUUUGGGACAAUAAUUUGUACAUAACUGUAGUUGUUGAUGAGCCAGAGCAUCUUUCUCCACUAAAACGCCAUUUUAAAAGCUUUUGUGGCAUUAUACCAAGAUAUCUCAGAAGAUUAAAUGCCUCACUUCCAGUGACAGAGUCAAAUGGUGCCCUUGAGUGUAAAGUUUGCUGUUCCAAGAAGAGGACAAAAGAGACACAUAUUGUAGAUUUUUAAAUUAGAGUGAUCUACACCAGUAACAUAAAUAUCACCAUCAUCAUUAUCAUCACCAUCAUGAUCAUCAGGAAUUCUAGGCACAUAUGGCAGAAUGUGUUUACAGGCUGGAUGUGGUGGCUCAUGCCCAUAAUCCC